RNAcentral lists this long non-coding RNA (838 nucleotides) under Diabrotica virgifera virgifera (western corn rootworm). RNAcentral describes it as "uncharacterized LOC126883131". The record is from RNAcentral. Lineage: Eukaryota; Metazoa; Arthropoda; Insecta; Coleoptera; Chrysomelidae.
UUUAAUCAAUGGUCGCGUUCACCAGAAUAAUCCGAGUGCAAUCCGAUUAAUUUGCGCUGAAACGCUGACAGUUUUUUUACUAGUGAACGACUGACGUUUGACAUUCGAUUGAGAUUGUUCUGUGUUCCAUUUGUUUAUGUUUUUAUUCUUUGUUUAUAUAAUUUAUAACCUAAACCUAUUUAGACAGUUUUGUUUUUAUUUUAAAUAAAACUAAAAUGGAUAAUAUUCUUGAAGAACUUUUGUUUGGGGACGAAAUUAGCAAAUGCCGUUAUACAUUUAGCAGAUGUACCUACCUCAAAUUAUUCCAGAAGGAUGAGAUGAAAUUAAAUAUAUAUAAACCAUAAUUCAAUAUCCAAUUUAGAGAACAUUUUCGUAUGUCCAGAACUACUUUCCAGGAACUAUUUAAUUGUAUUGGUCAUAUCCACCAAUUUGAAAACAGAAUAAUUCUAUUGGAAAAAAUUAAUGUUUAUGAUGUGGAUGCUAAGUAAACCAGAUAAUUUGUUGCUGGGGAUACGUUUGGUUUGCCAAAGAGCUCUGGACAUAAGAUUUUCACCCAAAUAAUAUAUAAUUACAAAAAAUUGAAAAUAACUAAUCUUGAAUAUCAAUGUGUAUAUUGAGUUUAAUUUUAUUGUAAAUAUUCUAUAACAUAAUUUUAUUGUAAAUAUUAUAUUAACACAUUUGUGGACACAUUUUCAUAGGCAGACAGUAAUUUCCCUUUGUAAGUACAUGCAUAUAUAGUCGUAUCUGCGAAUGGGUUAAUUGUAAAUCGUAACCAAUAAAAAUUUUUUGUGAAUCAAUAAAAAACUGGUUUGUUUGAAAAUAAAUGUAGUACAAAUGU